This 436-nucleotide ribosomal RNA is filed under the name uncultured bacterium. RNAcentral's name for it is "bacterial SSU rRNA". It matches the Rfam family "Bacterial small subunit ribosomal RNA", at positions 954 to 1392 of the family's 1533-position model. The record is from RNAcentral.
GCACAACGCGAAGAACCUUACCAAGGCUUGACAUACACCGGAAACGGCCAGAGAUGGUCGCCCCGCAAGGUCGGUGUACAGGUGGUGCAUGGUUGUCGUCAGCUCGUGUCGUGAGAUGUUGGGUUAAGUCCCGCAACGAGCGCAACCCCCGUGUCCUGUUGCCAGCGCGUGAUGGCGGGAACUCUGGACAGACUGCCUAGUUCAACUGGGAGGAAGGUGGGGACGACGUCAAGUCAGUAUGGCCCUUACGCCCAGGGCUGCACACGUACUACAAUGCCCGGCACAGUGAGAGCCGAGACCGCGAGGUGGAGGAAAUCUGCAAAACCGGGCCCAGUUCGGAUCACGGGCUGCAACCCGCCCGCGUGAAGUUGGAAUCGCUAGUAAUGGCGCAUCAGCCACGGCGCCGUGAAUACGUUCCCGGGUCUUGUACACACCG